CAUCAGUGGAGUGGUGUUACAGUGUGAGUCUGCAGGCUGGUAUCCAGAGCCUGAGCUGCUGUGGUUGGACGGUGAGGGAAACCUCUCUGCUGGACCUACAGAGACCCUCAGAGGUCCUGAUGACCUCUAUACUGUCAGCAGCAGAGUGACUGUGGAGAAGAGACACAGCAACAACAUCACCUGCAGAGUCCAACAGAGGAACACCAACCAGCGCAGAGAGACACACAUACAUGUUCCAGAUGAUUUCUUCUUGGUCAGUCCUUCUGGUCCACCCAGUCGUCCAAUCAGUAAUCCAAAUGUCACUGUUGCCUCGGCUGUCAGUGUUGCUGUUGUUCUUCUUCUAAUUGGUGCAGUUUUCUUUGCAUGGAAGUGGAGAAGAGGCAAAUUCAAAAAAAAGAAGAGUGAGGAGGAUGGAGCUGAACAGGCCAGGAAGAAAAACA
Non-coding RNA from Maylandia zebra (zebra mbuna), 440 nucleotides. The record is from RefSeq and is a predicted model, not a curated record. Lineage: Eukaryota; Metazoa; Chordata; Actinopteri; Cichliformes; Cichlidae.